AUACCUGGAAGAGGAGAUACCAUGAUCACAAAAGUGGUUUCCCCAGGGCAAGGCUUAUCCACUGCACUCCGGAUGCGGACGCGCUGACCCCCGCAACUUCCCCAAAUGUGGGAAACUCAGCUGCAUAGUUUGUGGUAGUGGGGGACUGUAUUCCCGCUCUCGCCUG
Small nuclear RNA from Ochotona curzoniae (black-lipped pika), 166 nucleotides. RefSeq annotates it as U1 spliceosomal RNA. The transcript has a single exon. The record is from RefSeq and is a predicted model, not a curated record. Lineage: Eukaryota; Metazoa; Chordata; Mammalia; Lagomorpha; Ochotonidae.